Molecule: long non-coding RNA, 1335 nt
Filed under: Salmo salar (Atlantic salmon)
Lineage: Eukaryota; Metazoa; Chordata; Actinopteri; Salmoniformes; Salmonidae
Description: lncRNA (ENSSSAG00000107641.1)
Source: RNAcentral
AGGAGAGAGAGUUGGAGAGAAGAACGUUCUCUAGCAGAGUUAGAGAGAUUAGUGAGGAGAGAGAGAGGAGGGGGGUUCUUUCUGGUUCUCGUUCCAGCCCAGGAUGAAAAUGCCCUGUGUGCAAGGAGGGGAGCAGGGACUGAUAUGGGUCAUGAGACUCUCAAAAGGAUUACCUUGAACUGAAGUCAUGAGACCAAGGCUUGAACAAAGAGCUGGCUCACAUGCUCAUCAUAUGAGCCCCGCUUCAUAAAGUCAUGUCGUUUCAUAUCUACUGGGCUUCAGUGGGCUAGGAGGACCCGGGUGAGAGCAGCUAGAGAGCUGGAGAUGGAGCUGGGCUGGAGCUGGGCUGGUGGGAAGUUUCUUGAGAGUUCUUAGAGUUAUUGAGUGUUCUUGAGUUCUAAGAGAGUUCUUGAGUUCUAAGAGAGUUCUUGAGUUCUUAGAGAGUUGUUGUGUUCUUCUUUACUAGUAGUUGGGUGUUAGAGUGUUGAGUUGCUCUUGUGCUCCUCUUGAAGUUUCUACUGGAUGCUCUUCCACUGACGGCCCACAAAGCUUGGAUUGAGAAGACGUUUCAGAAAAGAGAGUGCAUCCAAAUAUUUCCCAGCAAAGAACCAAACAGGUACCAUUCAUGUCACUGUUUUCCCAGAACCCAACAGGUACCAUUCAUGUCACUGUUCUCCCAGAACCCAACAGGUACCAUUCAUGUCACUGUUCUCCCAGAACCCAACAGGUACCAUUCAUACUACUGUUCUCCCAGAACCCAACAGGUACCAUUCAUACUACUGUUCUCCCAGAACCCAACAGGUACCAUUCAUGCCACUGUUCUCCCAGAACCCAACAGGUACCAUUCAUACUACUGUUCUCCCAGAACCCAACAGGUACCAUUCAUGUCACUGUUCUCCCAGAACCCAACAGGUACCAUUCAUGUCACUGUUCUCACAGAACCCAACAGGUACCAUUCAUGUGACUGUUCUCCCAGAACCCAACAGGUACCAUUCAUGCCACUGUUCUCACAGAACCCAACAGGUACCAUUCAUGUCACUGUUCUCCCAGAACCCAACAGGUACCAUUCAUGCCACUGUUCUCCCAAAACCCAACAGGUACCAUUCAUGCCACUGUUCUCACAGAACCCAACAGGUACCAUUCAUGCCACUGUUCUCGCCGAUCCAAUUUUCCUUGCUCCUCACUAUUCUCAUAUGCUUCCAUGAUGAGCACCAGAUCAUUUGUUGAGGCAGAGAGAGAGAGAGAGAGAGAGAGAGAGAGAGAGAGAGAGAAGAGAGAGAGAGAGAGAGUAAGAGAGAGAGAGGAGAGAAGAGAGAGAGAGAGAGGAAGAGAGAG